This 558-nucleotide long non-coding RNA is filed under the name Homo sapiens (human). Its description in RNAcentral is "non-protein coding KLF3-AS1:2". The record is from RNAcentral. Lineage: Eukaryota; Metazoa; Chordata; Mammalia; Primates; Hominidae.
AAACAACGUUGCCACACGCGGAGAGCACGGAGAUUUCUGGGGCUUUGGAGGGAAUCGUGAGCGGGCGGGAGGAGGCCGGGGACCACACAGAGAAUAACUUGUCUGACUACCAGUAUUCUUGGAUGCAGAAGUGCUGAAGAUGAGCACACACACGUACGGAGAAUUUCUGGAGAAUUCAGCUGCUCAGAACAAGAACUGAGAUCCAGAGAGAUGAUGACUUUGCCCAUAGACCAAACAAAGAAAUACAUGUUUCAGUCCUGUGUCCUCCUGCUAUGUGUGUCCGGAAUUGGUGGGUUCUUGGUCUCACUGACUUCAAGAAUGAAGCUGCGGACCCUCGCGGACCGUGUGUGAAUGCCUGCUCUGUGAGCCCUCAGAAUCUACUGGCUGAAUGAGUGCGUGGAGGAAAUGUGCUCAGAGCUGCUGUGUGUCAUCCUGUGUUUGAAGUGCUCCUGCAGCUAUCAUUCAUCCAGUUAAGAAUUUGAAGAAGUGUGUGCACAAAGACGGAGUCUCACUCUGUUGCCCAGGCUGGAGUGCAGUGGCACAAUCUCGGCUCACUGC